AUUGAACGCUGGCGGCAUGCUUUACACAUGCAAGUCGAACGGCAGCGCGGGCUUCGGCCUGGCGGCGAGUGGCGAACGGGUGAGUAAAGCAUCGGAACGUGCCCAGUAGUGGGGGAUAGCCCGGCGAAAGCCGGAUUAAUACCGCAUACGACCUGAGGGUGAAAGCGGGGGACCGAAAGGCCUCGCGCUAUUGGAGCGGCCGAUGUCGGAUUAGCUAGUUGGUGGGGUAAAGGCUUACCAAGGCGACGAUCCGUAGCUGGUCUGAGAGGACGACCAGCCACACUGGGACUGAGACACGGCCCAGACUCCUACGGGAGGCAGCAGUGGGGAAUUUUGGACAAUGGGGGCAACCCUGAUCCAGCCAUGCCGCGUGCGGGAAGAAGGCCUUCGGGUUGUAAACCGCUUUUGUUCGGGAAGAAAUCCUCUGGGCUAAUACCCCGGGGGGAUGACGGUACCGGAAGAAUAAGCACCGGCUAACUACGUG
Molecule: ribosomal RNA, 484 nt
Filed under: uncultured bacterium
Lineage: Bacteria
Description: partial 16S ribosomal RNA
Rfam family: Bacterial small subunit ribosomal RNA
Source: RNAcentral